RNAcentral lists this ribosomal RNA (89 nucleotides) under Vibrio cholerae. The record is from RNAcentral. Lineage: Bacteria; Pseudomonadati; Pseudomonadota; Gammaproteobacteria; Vibrionales; Vibrionaceae.
CCUGACUCCAUCCCGAACUCAGAAGUGAAACGAAACAGCGUCGAUGGUAGUGUGGGGUUUCCCCAUGUGAGAGUAGAACAUCGCCAGGC